UUGGAGGGCAAGUCUGGUGCCAGCAGCCGCGGUAAUUCCAGCUCCAAUAGCGUAUAUUAAAGUUGUUGCAGUUAAAAAGCUCGUAGUUGAAUUUCGGGAUUAGUACGUUGGUCGUGCCUUCGGUACGUACUGGUGUUACUGAUUCCUACCUUCUGACGAACCAUCAUGUCAUUAAUUUGGUGUGGUGGGGAAUCAGGACUGUUACUUUGAAAAAAUUAGAGUGUUUAAAGCAGGCUCGCACUUGAAUACAUUAGCGUGGAAUAAUGAAAUAGGACGUUGACCCUAUUUUGUUGGUUUCUAGGAUUGACGUAAUGAUUAAUAGGGAUAGUUGGGGGCAUUAGUAUUCAAUUGUCAGAGGUGAAAUUCUUGGAUUUAUUGAAGACUAACUACUGCGAAAGCAUUUGCCAAGGAUGUUUUCAUUAAUCAAGAACGAAAGUUAGGGGAUCGAAGACGAUCAGAUACCGUCGUAGUCUUAACCAUAAACUAUGCCGACUAGGGAUCGGAUGAUGUUAAUUUUUUAAUGACUCAUUCGGCGCCUUACGGGAAAC
Molecule: ribosomal RNA, 548 nt
Filed under: uncultured Glomus
Lineage: Eukaryota; Fungi; Glomeromycota; Glomeromycetes; Glomerales; Glomeraceae
Description: SSU rRNA
Rfam family: Eukaryotic small subunit ribosomal RNA
Source: RNAcentral